RNAcentral lists this ribosomal RNA (276 nucleotides) under Triticum aestivum (bread wheat). RNAcentral's name for it is "partial small subunit ribosomal RNA". Lineage: Eukaryota; Viridiplantae; Streptophyta; Magnoliopsida; Poales; Poaceae. The record is from RNAcentral.
AUGGAGGUGGAUUGCCUUGAGGUCGUAAACCUUUGGAACUCUCGCUACCACACUCGUUCUGUGGUGGCACCGCUUCUACUGGAAAUAUGGGAUUUAUCUGCUAGUUUUAUCUCUUUUUCUAUUUAGCAUGUAUCUAGAUCAUCCAACUUUUCGGCGCACCUCUGUGCUAAACGAGGUUGCUCUUUGUUAGUUAUCGAGAGUUGGACGGACACUGAACCUCCUUUCCUAGUCAGUAGCAUCACGGCUGAUUGUGCUAGGUGUGCUUUUGUUGAAUAA